RNAcentral lists this ribosomal RNA (468 nucleotides) under uncultured bacterium. RNAcentral's name for it is "partial 16S ribosomal RNA". It matches the Rfam family "Bacterial small subunit ribosomal RNA", at positions 28 to 523 of the family's 1533-position model. The record is from RNAcentral.
GAUGAACGCUGGCGGCGUGCCUAACACAUGCAAGUCGAGCGAUUCUCUUCGGAGAAGAGCGGCGGACGGGUGAGUAACGCGUGGGUAACCUGCCCUAUACACAUGGAUAACAUACCGAAAGGUAUGCUAAUACAAGAUAAUAUAAGGAAUUCGCAUGGAUUUCUUAUCAAAGCUCCGGCGGUAUAGGAUGGACCCGCGUCUGAUUAGCUGGUUGGUAAGGUAACGGCUUACCAAGGCGACGAUCAGUAGCCGACCUGAGAGGGUGAUCGGCCACAUUGGAACUGAGACACGGUCCAAACUCCUACGGGAGGCAGCAGUGGGGAAUAUUGCACAAUGGGCGAAAGCCUGAUGCAGCAACGCCGCGUGAGUGAUGAAGGCCUUCGGGUCGUAAAACUCUGUCCUCAAGGAAGAUAAUGACGGUACUUGAGGAGGAAGCCCCGGCUAACUACGUGCCAGCAGCCGCCGCGG